This 557-nucleotide ribosomal RNA is filed under the name uncultured Mesorhizobium sp. RNAcentral describes it as "bacterial SSU rRNA". It matches the Rfam family "Bacterial small subunit ribosomal RNA", at positions 102 to 694 of the family's 1533-position model. Lineage: Bacteria; Pseudomonadati; Pseudomonadota; Alphaproteobacteria; Hyphomicrobiales; Phyllobacteriaceae. The record is from RNAcentral.
ACGGGUGAGUAACGCGUGGGAAUCUACCCAUCUCUACGGAACAACUCCGGGAAACUGGAGCUAAUACCGUAUACGUCCUUUUGGAGAAAGAUUUAUCGGAGAUGGAUGAGCCCGCGUUGGAUUAGCUAGUUGGUGGGGUAAUGGCCUACCAAGGCGACGAUCCAUAGCUGGUCUGAGAGGAUGAUCAGCCACACUGGGACUGAGACACGGCCCAGACUCCUACGGGAGGCAGCAGUGGGGAAUAUUGGACAAUGGGCGCAAGCCUGAUCCAGCCAUGCCGCGUGAGUGAUGAAGGCCCUAGGGUUGUAAAGCUCUUUCAACGGUGAAGAUAAUGACGGUAACCGUAGAAGAAGCCCCGGCUAACUUCGUGCCAGCAGCCGCGGUAAUACGAAGGGGGCUAGCGUUGUUCGGAAUUACUGGGCGUAAAGCGCACGUAGGCGGAUACUUAAGUCAGGGGUGAAAUCCCGGGGCUCAACCCCGGAACUGCCUUUGAUACUGGGUAUCUCGAGUCCGGAAGAGGUGAGUGGAAUUCCGAGUGUAGAGGUGAAAUUCAUAGA